GUAAGUCUCUCUACUAACUGUUGGGUAAGUCUCCUACUGGAAUAGUCCCUUUUCCCCACACAUCACUUGUCAUGCAGUUUUAGCUGAAUCCAGAAUUUUACAGGUCCUCUUCUAAGCUUAGAACUUCUCUGCUACAUGACAGGUUGUGCCUUCUUGUCACAGAGUCUGAAUUUAAAGGGUGCACGUUUAUGAUCAUGUGUCGUUCUGGCCUACGCCGGAUUACAUUCUGAUUAUGUUCUAUUUUUUCUGCACUGAUUUUGGUUCCAUAAAUACACAACUUGAACUUCUCUCAUGCCCAUAAGCAGGCUGGUGUCGUGUGUAUUCUUCUCAUCUCCAAGUGAUACACAGGAUAUUAUAUUGGCAAAUCAUCUAGGCCACCUUCUGUAAGCUUUACACCAACAGCUGAUAAUUGUCAGCCUGUGUCUCACUGCACCUUCAUUCAUGCACACAGAGAUAGCUCUGUCACUAGCGUGAAAGUUAAUCCUUGUCCUGUUAGCGAGAGAGUGCUUCAAGUUUUAUACAGAAAUAUAAUUAGAAUGUAGAAUUCUAUGGUAAUAUAUAGCCAAAGCAUGUCUUUCCCUUGAGGUUAGCUUUCUCUGAAACCACCAACCGUGUCCAUUCUAGGCCAAAUCAAAUUGUUUUCUUUUGCAGCUCACGGUGACACAGAACACAGCACAUUGUAACUACAGGACCAGACUCGACUUUGAAAGAUCUCUAUCAGGCAUCACAGAGAAUUUGGGGCAGAUGGCAGUUAUCAGCUGAAGCAGUCAGAACUGUACAAGAUAAAUAGAUAAUUGAAAAGCAAUCUGGAAAGCUGGAAGAGAUAUUAAGACUCUCUUCUAGAAGGGAGGUAACAACUCAGGGGCCUGCUGCAGCAAAUGUGGAAUGCCAGAAGUGGAGAUGCAAGAGAAGAUUCCAGAAAGAGAAGUGGUAGUGGAAGAAAAACCGAGACUUUGUCAUGAAAAUGAAAAGAAUUGGACAAGUUUACAAAAAUGAAAGCAGCUGGGAAAAGAAAAUAAAUUGACAUACAGCAUGCAAAAACUGCAAUAUGAACCAGUUUCUGGAACACUACGGUUUUCCCAGAUAUUUAAACUCCAUUUUUGGAUACUCCCUGAACUGUCAAUGGUCCCAUAAUCUCAAAAGGAGCUUCUGCUUUAGAUUGGGUUUUGACAAGAAAACAACAAAUCCUGUGGGAUGCUGCAGAUGUAUGAUGGUAUUAAUGUGCUAAAGGAUUUAGAGAAUAAGUAUGGUGGUGGGAGACAUAAGAAGAGUUGACAAUUCAAUCCCUUGUUGAUUGAUUCCUCUACCUAAACAUAUCCACAAUGACAUGUUUGGGAAUCAGUCUUGUAUCCAGGAGCCAGUGAUGGAGCUUUCACGUGGAAGCUGGGAUGGUUAAUGAAGUACAACUUGACACUCUUCAAAUCUUGCAAUGUCUUGUAAAAUAAAGGAAGAUUUAUUUUAUAUUUACACAUAUGCUUUGUAAUUAUUUAAUCAACCAAGUCAAAAUUUUACAAAUAAAAAACAUUUGUCAUUUUGUUAUGCACUGUUUGAGGCUGAAAAGGCAUUUGAUUAUCAUAAUUGUGUAAUGGAUAUUAGCUACAGUGACAAUCAAAAUAAACACAGAGCAUUUAUAUAUCAUCUUUUCAUAGUCCUUUUCUAAAUUACAUAAUCCGUGUACAAACUGCACAUGAAUAAUAUGCUAUGGUUAAACAAACAAGUCUUUAAUGAUCAGCAGUGAA
Molecule: long non-coding RNA, 1739 nt
Organism: Ficedula albicollis (Collared flycatcher)
Lineage: Eukaryota; Metazoa; Chordata; Aves; Passeriformes; Muscicapidae
Exons: 5
Source: RefSeq, a predicted model, not a curated record